GGGCACGACACCGGAGAGGGAGCCUGAGAAACGGCUACCANNNNNNNNNNNGGCAGCAGGCGCGCAAAUUACCCAAUCCCGACACGGNNNNGUAGUGACAAUAAAUAACAAUACGGGGUUCUUUAGGAUCUCGUAAUUGGAAUGAGUACAAUUUAAAUCUCUUAACGAGGAACAAUUGGAGGGCAAGUCUGGUGCCAGCAGCCGCGGUAAUUCCAGCUCCAAUAGCGUAUAUUAAAGUUGUUGCAGUUAAAAAGCUCGUAGUUGAAUUUCGGGGUUAGUAGGUUGGUCAUGCCUCUGGUAUGUACUGGUCUCACUGAUUCCUCCUUCCUUAUGAACCGUAAUGCCAUUAAUUUGGUGUUGCGGGGAAUUUGGACUGUUACUUUGAAAAAAUUAGAGUGUUUAAAGCAAGCUAACGCUUGAAUACAUUAGCAUGGAAUAAUGAAAUAGGACGUUCGAUCUUAUUUUGUUGGUUUCUAGGAUUGACGUAAUGAUUAAUAGGGAUAGUUGGGGGCAUUAGUAUUCAAUUGUCAGAGGUGAAAUUCUUGGAUUUAUUGAAGACUAACUACUGCGAAAGCAUUUGCCAAGGAUGUUUUCAUUAAUCAAGAACGAAAGUUAGGGGAUCGAAGACGAUCAGAUACCGUCGUAGUCUUAACCAUAAACUAUGCCGACUAGGGAUCGGAUGAUGUUAAUUUUUUAAUGACUCAUUCGGCGCCUUACGGGAAACCAAAGUG
This 731-nucleotide ribosomal RNA is filed under the name uncultured Glomeromycotina. Its description in RNAcentral is "partial small subunit ribosomal RNA". It matches the Rfam family "Eukaryotic small subunit ribosomal RNA", at positions 373 to 1105 of the family's 1831-position model. The record is from RNAcentral. Lineage: Eukaryota; Fungi; Glomeromycota.